AUUUUAGUGCUUAUGUUCAAAAUACCCAGGUAGUGAGUGGAAUAUAGUUGUGAAGUAAAUAUAGUUUUCCAGAAUGAAAACUAAAGAUUCAAUCAAAGAUAGUGAAAAACAGCACUGAAAUACACAAUUACGACAAAACGUUUGCAUGGAUUGCAAUGAUGGGGCCAUCUUUUCCAUGCUAUGCUUUGCUGAUCCGGAACAGAAUGAUAACCAGAGGCAACGAAUCGAGCAAACAUCGAUUCCAUACCAGCCUAACACGGACGGAUGGGUACGAUGGUGGCUCGGGCAGAAAUUAAACAUAGAAGAUGGACAAACUCAUACCAUCUGGAGCUUCAAUGAAAAAGGGACCAACAAAUGCCAUACACAUCAAAUUUGUUGCCAUCGUUUUCGUUGCACUGUACUGCGUUCUCGAAUGCACACGACGCUGGAAGUUGAUAGACGUAAAUCAACUGAAUUUACGAGGAUAAUCUCUUCUGGACUGCAGGUGUGGUAUUCGAGGAACGAGCGUCCAAAUAGCCAGCGUUCACCUACAUGAAGACUUUGUCAUAUGAUGAGAUUCGUUGGUGGUUGAGCCAAAACGUUCUUUCUGUAGGAGAAGUAGUUAUUUAAUCAGAUAGCAAAAACUAGGGCGAGAAAACUCUUUAAAAUUACCAACGUAAUGAAUAAAUCGUCAUGGUACAAGUAAACACAACAUCAAUAAUGAAUAACAAACUAUUUCUUUUUAAUCAUUGACUCUCACUACUGCAAAGUGGCAAUGAUAUUGCUACGUUCAAAGAGGACAGCGAUGAACUAUGAUAGUGUAGGUGGUAAAAAAUGUAGAUGCCUUAGUUGGUCGUGAUUCAAUUUCCACCUGAGAAUUUCAACAAUGUGUACGGCUCAG
Armigeres subalbatus is the source of this 880-nucleotide long non-coding RNA. RefSeq lists it as uncharacterized. The transcript is spliced from 3 exons. The record is from RefSeq and is a predicted model, not a curated record. NCBI's taxonomy places the organism in Eukaryota, Metazoa, Arthropoda, Insecta, Diptera, Culicidae.